This 859-nucleotide ribosomal RNA is filed under the name Bacillus safensis. RNAcentral describes it as "bacterial SSU rRNA". It matches the Rfam family "Bacterial small subunit ribosomal RNA", at positions 116 to 958 of the family's 1533-position model. The record is from RNAcentral. Lineage: Bacteria; Bacillati; Bacillota; Bacilli; Caryophanales; Bacillaceae.
CGUGGGUAACCUGCCUGUAAGACUGGGAUAACUCCGGGAAACCGGAGCUAAUACCGGAUAGUUCCUUGAACCGCAUGGUUCAAGGAUGAAAGACGGUUUCGGCUGUCACUUACAGAUGGACCCGCGGCGCAUUAGCUAGUUGGUGGGGUAAUGGCUCACCAAGGCGACGAUGCGUAGCCGACCUGAGAGGGUGAUCGGCCACACUGGGACUGAGACACGGCCCAGACUCCUACGGGAGGCAGCAGUAGGGAAUCUUCCGCAAUGGACGAAAGUCUGACGGAGCAACGCCGCGUGAGUGAUGAAGGUUUUCGGAUCGUAAAGCUCUGUUGUUAGGGAAGAACAAGUGCGAGAGUAACUGCUCGCACCUUGACGGUACCUAACCAGAAAGCCACGGCUAACUACGUGCCAGCAGCCGCGGUAAUACGUAGGUGGCAAGCGUUGUCCGGAAUUAUUGGGCGUAAAGGGCUCGCAGGCGGUUUCUUAAGUCUGAUGUGAAAGCCCCCGGCUCAACCGGGGAGGGUCAUUGGAAACUGGGAAACUUGAGUGCAGAAGAGGAGAGUGGAAUUCCACGUGUAGCGGUGAAAUGCGUAGAGAUGUGGAGGAACACCAGUGGCGAAGGCGACUCUCUGGUCUGUAACUGACGCUGAGGAGCGAAAGCGUGGGGAGCGAACAGGAUUAGAUACCCUGGUAGUCCACGCCGUAAACGAUGAGUGCUAAGUGUUAGGGGGGUUUCCGCCCCUUAGUGCUGCAGCUAACGCAUUAAGCACUCCGCCUGGGGAGUACGGUCGCAAGACUGAAACUCAAAGGAAUUGACGGGGGCCCGCACAAGCGGGUGGAGCAUGUGGUUUAAUUCGAAGCA